This 465-nucleotide ribosomal RNA is filed under the name uncultured Klebsiella sp. RNAcentral's name for it is "bacterial SSU rRNA". It matches the Rfam family "Bacterial small subunit ribosomal RNA", at positions 338 to 795 of the family's 1533-position model. Lineage: Bacteria; Pseudomonadati; Pseudomonadota; Gammaproteobacteria; Enterobacterales; Enterobacteriaceae. The record is from RNAcentral.
CCUACGGGUGGCUGCAGUGGGGAAUAUUGCACAAUGGGCGCAAGCCUGAUGCAGCCAUGCCGCGUGUGUGAAGAAGGCCUUCGGGUUGUAAAGCACUUUCAGCGGGGAGGAAGGCGGUGAGGUUAAUAACCUCAUCGAUUGACGUUACCCGCAGAAGAAGCACCGGCUAACUCCGUGCCAGCAGCCGCGGUAAUACGGAGGGUGCAAGCGUUAAUCGGAAUUACUGGGCGUAAAGCGCACGCAGGCGGUCUGUCAAGUCGGAUGUGAAAUCCCCGGGCUCAACCUGGGAACUGCAUUCGAAACUGGCAGGCUAGAGUCUUGUAGAGGGGGGUAGAAUUCCAGGUGUAGCGGUGAAAUGCGUAGAGAUCUGGAGGAAUACCGGUGGCGAAGGCGGCUCUCUGGCCUGUAACUGACGCUGAGGCGCGAAAGCGUGGGGAGCGAGCAGGAUUAGAUACCCGGGUAGUC